This 695-nucleotide long non-coding RNA is filed under the name Sorghum bicolor (sorghum). RNAcentral's name for it is "long non-coding RNA (SBIC_LNC006695)". Lineage: Eukaryota; Viridiplantae; Streptophyta; Magnoliopsida; Poales; Poaceae. The record is from RNAcentral.
AGGAUGGUUAAGAAAAAUAUCUGGGGUUAAAACAUUGUAAAACUUUUUCUUCAUACCUGCAGGGUGUUGUAAAAAUUCACUGUGUACCGUAAUCAGGGAAAUAUAUGAUCAAGAGUAGAGAUCCUUUCUUCUCAAUCUUGUCACUUGGAGUUUUUGUUAUAUUUUUGAAAAGAAAUUCAGCAUACCUUUAUCCUCAUAGGUUCUCUCAGGUCACUCAUUUAUCUUUUACAUAUCUCACUGAGGUUGUCUUAAUUUGCAAAAAUUCUCAAGCAUACUUACCUUGCAUUUAUUGCCUAAUCAAAACGGGAUCCAAGGACAAGAAUGCCAUACUCUUAGAUCAAAGACUUUGGAAACUAAAAACUUGUCAACUCUUGCUGGCAUAUUGCUUAUUAGAGGGACCAUAGGCUAUCAUUUUCUUUCUUUUUCUCUCUCUUUCUUUUUUUUAAUACCGAGGUACCCCUAAUUUUACUGCCGGACACUUGUUCAUUUUUUCUGCGAGGUUAUCGAGCACUUGCUCCUUUUCAUUUCCUCGAAAUAUCCUUAUUUUUGCAUAGCCCAUGCCUCUAAUGCAAUAAUACUUCGGAAGAUUGAAAGCCCUAGUUUGGUUUUGGAUAAUUGAUGAAACCUAUGUGUACUAACCUUUGUCAUGAGUGAAAUAUAAAGAUAGGUUGGUACACACCACGUGAUGGAGCUAG